Molecule: long non-coding RNA, 505 nt
Organism: Gossypium arboreum
Lineage: Eukaryota; Viridiplantae; Streptophyta; Magnoliopsida; Malvales; Malvaceae
Exons: 2
Source: RefSeq, a predicted model, not a curated record
GGUAAAUGUUUCAUGAUAAGAAUUUCAUGUCUUUUGUAUUAAAGAAUUAAAUGGAUGAAAUAUGAAGUUUUAUUAAAAGAAAAAGGGGUGAAAAGAACAAAGUUUUGUCCAUCUUUGUUCAUCAUAGCUGAAAGUUAGAGAAGAGAAAAGAGAGGAGAAAGCUCUUGAGUAUUUGGUCAUCAGGAGGAGGAAAAUUGAAGGAAAUCCCCAACCAUAGUGGGCUUGGAGCUGUGAGGGAAUUCGGAGUGGUCACCCGUUCUGAAAGUUUGAUUUUCUUCUGGUGAAUUGGACAUCCUUUUAAUUACGUUUGAGGUUUUGGGCUUUUAAAUGUAAUAAGGCCGCUUAAUUAUUUUUAAUGGUUUUAAUAUGUAUUACUAAGAUAGGUAAUACUUAUUUUAACUGUUGAAAUUAGAUAGCUUUAGGGCAAGUUUUCAAAAACAACAGUUGAUUUCAAAAUAACACGACAACAAGCAAAGCUUCCGCAAUGAAAGUAUUUUUUCCAAAA